AGUUUGUGCAACCAUUAGUUUUCGCGUCUAACUUUGUAUUAAUUUUUUUAUUAGAUGAUAAAACAUGAACAUUACUUUACUCGUGACUUAUGUUUUUAAAUUUUUUCAAUUUUUUUAAAUAAGACGACAAUCAAAGUUGAACGCGGAUAAUCAUGUUUGCACUUAAA
RNAcentral lists this microRNA precursor (167 nucleotides) under Oryza glumipatula. RNAcentral's name for it is "MIR812 microRNA precursor family". It matches the Rfam family "MIR812 microRNA precursor family". The record is from Rfam by way of RNAcentral. Lineage: Eukaryota; Viridiplantae; Streptophyta; Magnoliopsida; Poales; Poaceae.